UGGGGAAUAUUGCGCAAUGGGGGGCAACCCUGACGCAGCAACGCCGCGUGAAGGAAGAAGGUCUUCGGAUUGUAAACUUUUGUCUUAAGGGACGAAAAGGACGGUACCUUAGGAGGAAGCCACGGCUAACUACGUGCCAGCAGCCGCGGUAAUACGUAGGUGGCAAGCGUUGUCCGGAUUUACUGGGUGUAAAGGGCGUGUAGGCGGGCUGAUAAGUCAGAUGUGAAAUACCGGGGCUUAACCCCGGGGCUGCAUUUGAAACUGUCAGUCUUGAGUGUCGGAGAGGUAAGCGGAAUUCCUAGUGUAGCGGUGAAAUGCGUAGAUAUUAGGAGGAACACCAGUGGCGAAGGCGGCUUACUGGACGAUAACUGACGCUGAGGCGCGAAAGCGUGGGUAGCAAAC
RNAcentral lists this ribosomal RNA (402 nucleotides) under uncultured Clostridium sp. RNAcentral's name for it is "bacterial SSU rRNA". It matches the Rfam family "Bacterial small subunit ribosomal RNA", at positions 355 to 773 of the family's 1533-position model. Lineage: Bacteria; Bacillati; Bacillota; Clostridia; Eubacteriales; Clostridiaceae. The record is from RNAcentral.